RNAcentral lists this long non-coding RNA (416 nucleotides) under Elaeis guineensis (African oil palm). RNAcentral describes it as "long non-coding RNA (EGUI_LNC054101)". Lineage: Eukaryota; Viridiplantae; Streptophyta; Magnoliopsida; Arecales; Arecaceae. The record is from RNAcentral.
AUUUAAACCCCCUACCCUUCCUUCGGGGCUUUACUCCGCCUAAAAGACGGAACCUUUCUUUUGUCUGAGAGCCUAGCUACUCAGCCACUCCCUCGGUGCCCCUGCCAACUCCGAGCGUCCUCCGCGCCGGUCUUUGCCGUCUCUCUGCCAUCCUCAGCCCCCCGAUUCCUCUUUAAGGGGCUUCCCCGCCAGGUCCUCCACCCCAGAGGCCAUCCUCAAGAGGAUGCCAAGGGCUUGGAGGAAGGCAAGAAGGAGAACAGUGGUCUGCGAGUUCUCCGGUCAUCAAGCGACUUCUGAAGGUCCCCGUCGCUUCAAAGGGGAUUUGAGGAAGAAUUCCUUCAACAACAGGGGUUUAAUGAUGGAGACCGCCGGGAAAGGCGUUCUGCCUGAGAAUUUCGGAGUAGCAAGACAGGGUG